This 407-nucleotide ribosomal RNA is filed under the name uncultured bacterium. RNAcentral's name for it is "partial 16S ribosomal RNA". It matches the Rfam family "Bacterial small subunit ribosomal RNA", at positions 28 to 526 of the family's 1533-position model. The record is from RNAcentral.
GACGAACGCUGGCGGCGCGCUUAACACAUGCAAGUCGAGCGAAGCGGCUGACGGGUGAGUAACACGUGAGUAACCUGCCUUAGACCUUGGGAUAGCCUCGGGAAACCGGGAUUAAUACCAAAUGGUCUAAGAUGGACUCGCGUCCCAUUAGCUAGUGGGUGAGGUAACGGCCCACCAAGGCGACGAUGGGUAGCCGGCGUGAGAGGGUGAACGGCCACAUUGGAACUGAGAAACGGUCCAAACUCUGCGGGAGGCAGCAGUGGGGAAUAUUGCACAAUGGAGGGAACGCUGAUGCAGCGACGCCGCGUGAACGAAGAAGGCGUUCGAGUCGUAAAGUUCUUUUAUAUGGGAAGCGGUACCAUAAGAAAAAGCCCCGGCUAACUACGUGCCAGCAGCCGCGGUAAUAC